AAGACUGUACUUCACAGGAUCAUUUCUGUAGUACGUCUUCACUUCUCUCUACUCAACAGUAGAGUCAAUGAAACCACGAGGAUGAGACGUAGUCCACUUCCCUGAGCGUGAGGCAGACAUUGAGUCGGAAUAAUUCUGAUUCGCUGUCAUCGAUGAUCGUUCACUAUCUCUUCGGAGGUAGAGUGGGGGGUGGGCACUCUGAGUGGU
Molecule: small nucleolar RNA, 207 nt
Organism: Frankliniella occidentalis (western flower thrips)
Lineage: Eukaryota; Metazoa; Arthropoda; Insecta; Thysanoptera; Thripidae
Product: small nucleolar RNA U3
Exons: 1
Source: RefSeq, a predicted model, not a curated record